Molecule: non-coding RNA, 819 nt
Organism: Oncorhynchus mykiss (rainbow trout)
Lineage: Eukaryota; Metazoa; Chordata; Actinopteri; Salmoniformes; Salmonidae
Source: RefSeq, a predicted model, not a curated record
AGCUGAUGGGCACCAACCCACAGGCCUAUGGUAAGAUCUAUUUUGUGGCUUGACAGUGAGUCUAUUCGCAGAUGGCAGGGUUUGGCCACGGCCCAAGUGAGAACGAGCCUGAUGUGGCCUGCUGCUUCUUCUGUCUCAGAGAGCUGGAGUGCUGGGAGCCUGAGGACAACCCAUGGUGUCAUUAGGUCCGAGCAUAUCAAACGCUCUCCUAACUGUGGCUUCCUGGCCCUAAGGAAAGACGUUGGGGAGCUGUCUGUGGCUGAGUUCUAUCACCUGGAGCAGGAGAGACUGCACAUCUACAUUGCAAGUCACCAACCCUACCCUAUAUAUUUUUUUACAGUUUCCUAUAUAAGAAACUGUAUUGUCCCCAAAUGGGAAAAAUUGUCUUAGACACACCGUAAAGAAUAAACGUCAUAGACAUUGCAGCGUCACACACGUUGCACAAUGCCCAUGUCAUACACAUCAUAUACGCCUGCAUCUUCUCAUUCAAGGCAAAUACUUGAUAGACAUGAGUUGCACAAUGCCCCUGUGUUUUCCUGCUGUGUGUACACUCAUGCCUUGACUGAAAGUUGUGCUUUUACAUAUUUUCUUUAAGUUCACAAAGCUAUUUGAUACUUGCUGUAGGGUUGGAGCCAAUUUCAGUUAACUUAUGGAGGCCUAAGCUGUGUGUUACUGUGUAGUUUACCCGUGUCAAUCACAUGCCAUUUCUACUGUUGCAGAGGAAGACUUUGUAUCUGAAGAUUGCCAUUUAUGGAGAUGAGGCACCUAUAACGUAGUUGACAUUAAGGAGUGUGUUUUUUUUCUUCUUAUCUGUAAAUA